Molecule: long non-coding RNA, 1002 nt
Filed under: Sparus aurata (gilthead seabream)
Lineage: Eukaryota; Metazoa; Chordata; Actinopteri; Spariformes; Sparidae
Description: lncRNA (ENSSAUG00010001134.1)
Source: RNAcentral
AUGAUUCAGUGUUUAACCACUGUGACGGGACAGCAGCCUCCUCCACCCUCCUCCACCCUCUGUCCUCCUGCAGGUCAGCAGCCUCCUCCACCCUCUGUCCUCCUGCAGGCCUGCAGCCUCCUCCACCCUCUGUCCUCCUGCAGGUCAGCAGCCUCCUCCACCCUCUGUCCUCCUGCAGGCCUGCAGCCUCCUCCACCCUCUGUCCUCCUGCAGGCCUGCAGCCUGCUCCACCCUCUGUCCUCCUGCAGGUCAGCAGCCUCCUCCACCCUCUGUCCUCCUGCAGGUCAGCAGCCUCCUCCACCCUCCUCCACCCUCUGUCCUCCUGCAGGUCAGCAGCCUCCUCCACCCUCUGUCCUCCUGCAGGCCUGCAGCCUCCUCCACCCUCCUCCACCCUCUGUCCUCCUGCAGGCCUGCAGCCUCCUCCACCCUCUGUCCUCCUGCAGGUCUGCAGCCUCCUCCACCCUCUGUCCUCCUGCAGAUCAGCAGCCUCCUCCACCCUCCUCCACCCUCUGUCCUCCUGCAGGUCAGCAGCCUCCUCCACCCUCUGUCCUCCUGCAGGCCUGCAGCCUCCUCCACCCUCUGUCCUCCUGCAGGUCAGCAGCCUCCUCCACCCUCUGUCCUCCUGCAGGCCUGCAGCCUCCUCCACCCUCUGUCCUCCUGCAGGUCAGCAGCCUCCUCCACCCUCCUCCACCCUCUGUCCUCCUGCAGGUCAGCAGCCUCCUCCACCCUCUGUCCUCCUGCAGACCUGCAGCCUCCUCCUGUAGGCCUGCAGCCUCCUCCACCCUCUGUCCUCCUGCAGGUCAGCAGCCUCCUCCACCCUCUGUCCUCCUGCAGACCUGCAGCCUCCUCCUGCAGGUCAGCAGCCUCCUCCACCCUCUGUCCUCCUGCAGAUCAGCAGCCUCCUCCUGUAGGCCUGCAGCCUCCUCCACCCUCUGUCCUCCUGCAGAUCAGCAGCCUCCUCCACCCUCUGUCCUCCUGCAGAUCAGCAGCCUCCUCCUGUAG